UGGACGCUAGCGGCGCGCUUAAUGCAUGCAAGUCGAGCGAUGAGGUCUCCUUCGGGGGACACAUCAGCGGCAGACGGGUGAGUAACACGUAGGUAACCUACCCCAGAGACAGGGAUAACCCUAGGAAACGAGGGCUAAUACCGGAUGACCUCCGGAAGGAGGAAAGGCUCAGGCGCUCUGGGAGGGGCUUGCGGCCCAUCAGCUAGUUGGUAGGGUAAAGGCCUACCAAGGCGAAGACGGGUAGGGGGUGUGAGAGCACGGNCCCCCACAAUGGGACUGAAACACGGCCCAUACUCCUACGGGAGGCAGCAGCAGGGAAUAUUGCACAAUAGGCGAAAGCCUGAUGCAGCGACGCCGCGUGAGUGAAGAAGGCCUUCGGGUCGUAAAGCUCUUUUGUAGGGGAAGAGGAAGGACGGUACCCUAAGAAGAAGCGUCGGCUAACUACGUGCCAGCAGCCGCGGUAAGACGUAGGACGCGAGCGUUAUCCGGAAUUACUGGGCGUAAAGGGCCAGCAGGCGGCUUGGUAAGUUGUGCGUGAAAGCCUCGUGCUCAACGCGAGGAAGCCGGACAAUACUGUCAAGCUAGAGGGCAUCAGAGGGGAGUGGAAUUCCCGGAGUAGCGGUAAAAUGCGCAGAUAUCGGGAGGAACACCGAUGGCGAAGGCAGCUCCCUGGGAUGCACCUGACGCUAAGAGGCGAAAGCUAGGGGAGCGAACAGGAUUAGAGACCCUGGUAGUCCUAGCUGUAAACGCUGGGUGCUAGGUGUGGGACGUAGAAGUUCCGUGCCGGAGCAAACGCGAUAAGCACCCCGCCUGGGAAUUACGGUCGCAAGGCUAAAACUCAAACGAAUUGACGGGGCCCCGCACAAGCAGCGGAGCGUGUGGUUCAAUUCGAUGCUACACGAAGAACCUUACCUGGGUUUGACAUGUACGUGGUACGAAGGCGAAAGCCUAAGGACCCUUCGGGGAGCGUACACAGGUG
This 979-nucleotide ribosomal RNA is filed under the name uncultured organism. Its description in RNAcentral is "bacterial SSU rRNA". It matches the Rfam family "Bacterial small subunit ribosomal RNA", at positions 30 to 1040 of the family's 1533-position model. The record is from RNAcentral.